AGGCAGCAGUGGGGAAUAUUGGACAAUGGGGGAAACCCUGAUCCAGCAAUGCCGCGUGUGUGAAGAAGGCCUGCGGGUUGUAAAGCACUUUCGGCGGGAAAGAAAAGUCGCGCGUUAAUACCGUGCGGCCUUGACGUUACCCGCAAAAGAAGCACCGGCUGACUCCGUGCCAGCAGCCGCGGUAAUACGGAGGGUGCAAGCGUUAAUCGGAAUUAUUGGGCGUAAAGCGCACGCAGGCGGUUGGAUAAGUUAGAUGUGAAAGCCUCGGGCUCAACCUGGGAAUUGCAUUUAAAACUGUCCAGCUAGAGUCUUGUAGAGGGGGGUAGAAUUCCCAGGUGUAGCGGUGAAAUGCGUAGAGAUCUGGAGGAAUACCGGUGGCGAAGGCGGCCCCCUGGACAAAGACUGACGCUCAGGUGCGAAAGCGUGGGGAGCAAACAGGAUUAGAUACCCCUGGUAGUCCNCNCCGUAAACGAUGUCGAUUUGGAGGCUGUGUCCUUGAGACGUGGCUUCCGGAGCUAACGCGUUAAAUCCGACCGCCUGGGGAGUACGGCCGCAAGGUUAAAACUCAAAUGAAUUGACGGGGGC
Molecule: ribosomal RNA, 585 nt
Filed under: uncultured Gammaproteobacteria bacterium
Lineage: Bacteria; Pseudomonadati; Pseudomonadota; Gammaproteobacteria
Description: bacterial SSU rRNA
Rfam family: Bacterial small subunit ribosomal RNA
Source: RNAcentral